RNAcentral lists this ribosomal RNA (400 nucleotides) under uncultured bacterium. Its description in RNAcentral is "bacterial SSU rRNA". It matches the Rfam family "Bacterial small subunit ribosomal RNA", at positions 356 to 773 of the family's 1533-position model. The record is from RNAcentral.
GGGGAAUAUUGGACAAUGGGGGAAACCCUGAUCCAGCAAUGCCGCGUGAGUGAUGAAGGCCUUAGGGUCGUAAAGCUCUUUUACCAGGGAUGAUAAUGACAGUACCUGGAGAAUAAGCUCCGGCUAACUCCGUGCCAGCAGCCGCGGUAAUACGGAGGGAGCUAGCGUUGUUCGGAAUUACUGGGCGUAAAGCGCACGUAGGCGGUUAUUCAAGUCAGAGGUGAAAGCCCGGGGCUCAACCCCGGAACUGCCUUUGAAACUAGAUGACUGGAAUCUUGGAGAGGUCAGUGGAAUUCCGAGUGUAGAGGUGAAAUUCGUAGAUAUUCGGAAGAACACCAGUGGCGAAGGCGACUGACUGGACAAGUAUUGACGCUGAGGGGCGAAAGCGUGGGGAGCAAAC